UGGCUCAGGAUGAACGCUAGCUACAGGCUUAACACAUGCAAGUCGAACGGGGAACGGAUUCGUCCGUUCCCAGUGGCAAACGGGUGAGUAACACGUAUCCAACCACCCCGCGACACGGGGAUAGCCUUCUGAAAGGGAGAUUAAUACCCGGUACACUGUUUAUAGCGCAUGCUAUUUUCAGUAAAGUUCCGGCGGUCGCGGACGGGGAUGCGCUCCAUUAGAUAGUCGGCGGGGUAACGGCCCACCGAGUCUAUGAUGGAUAGGGGUUCUGAGAGGAAGGUCCCCCACAUUGGAACUGCGACACGGUCCAAACUCCUACGGGAGGCAGCAGUGAGGAAUAUUGGUCAAUGGGCGAAGGCCUGAACCAGCCAAGUAGCGUGAAGGAUGACAGCCCUAUGGGUUGUAAACUUCUUUUGGUCGGGAAUAACAGACACCACUUGUGGUGUUUUGCAUGUACCGGCCGAAUAAGGAUCGGCUAACUCCGUGCCAGCAGCCGCGGUAAUACGGAGGAUCCGAGCGUUAUCCGGAUUUAUUGGGUUUAAAGGGAGCGUAGGCGGGAAGUCAAGUCAGCUGUGAAAUGCGCACGCUCAACGUACGCCUUGCAGUUGAAACUGGUUUUCUUGAGUGCGUAAGAGGCAGGCGGAAUUCGUGGUGUAGCGGUGAAAUGCUUAGAUAUCACACAGAACACCGAUUGCGUAGGCAGCUUACUGGAGCGCAACUGACGCUGAGGCACGAAAGCGUGGGGAUCGAACAGGAUUAGAUACCCUGGUAGUCCACGCUGUAAACGAUGAUCACUAGCUAUCGGCGAUAUACAGUCGGUGGCACAGCGAAAGCGUUAAGUGAUCCACCUGGGGAGUACGCCGGCAACGGUGAAACUCAAAGGAAUUGACGGGGGCCCGCACAAGCGGAGGAACAUGUGGUUUAAUUCGAUGAUACGCGAGGAACCUUACCCGGGCUUGAAAUGCAGAGGAAUAACGGUGAAAGUCGUUAGCCAGCAAUGGUCUCUGUGUAGGUGCUGCAUGGUUGUCGUCAGCUCGUGCCGUGAGGUGUCGGCUUAAGUGCCAUAACGAGCGCAACCCUUACCAUUAGUUACUAACGGGUUAUGCCGAGGACUCUAAUGGGACUGCCACCGUAAGGUGUGAGGAAGGUGGGGAUGACGUCAAAUCAGCACGGCCCUUACGUCCGGGGCGACACACGUGUUACAAUGGGCGGCACAGAGGGCAGCGACUCCGCGAGGGGAAGCAAAUCUCAAAAAGCCGUUCUCAGUUCGGAUUGGAGUCUGCAACUCGACUCCAUGAAGCUGGAUUCGCUAGUAAUCGCGCAUCAGCCAUGGCGCGGUGAAUACGUUCCCGGGCCUUGUACUCACCGCCCGUCA
This 1375-nucleotide ribosomal RNA is filed under the name uncultured bacterium. RNAcentral describes it as "16S ribosomal RNA". It matches the Rfam family "Bacterial small subunit ribosomal RNA". The record is from RNAcentral.